UUGAAGAAUUACUUACAUAUACUGGUGGGAGGAUAUAGUUAUCAAGUGGGAUAGUCGAACUGCGUGUAAGUUGACCCAUUUAUCUGGUGAAACGACCUUACAGAGAGGAUCUGAUCUUCAUUUGUGUCUAAACUUUUCCUAAGUAAUCGUUUGUGUUUGUUGUCUACUUUUUACCUUCUGUUCAUUUUCUAUACCAUGUGACAUUGGUUCUCUUUGAAUCCUUUCUUAUUGCCAUAUGGUCAUCUUAGCAUUCAGAUAUCAGUUAGUUCUCAGUAUAUGUUUUUAAUUGUAUUGGUGAAUGUUUCAUCUGGACAAAUAUAUGAUUGUUAGAGUUAUAUCCUACUGAAACUUUAUCAUUUUUCUAGAGUAAAUCUUGUUAAAUGUCCAAAAAGCUGAUCAAAUGUAUUGGGAAAUAUUCUCUCUUUUUCGUUUGGUAUUGGAACAUCGAACUUAUCAACUUUUUUCGUUAUUUCAAUUUAAAAGCAACAAUUCAAGUUUUUUUCAAUUGUGUUGUAUCAUUGAACAUGUUUCUGCCCUUCUACCAGAAGUUGGAUGCAGCCAUCCUGCUAUAUGACCUUUUUGCAUUCCAUGUAUUAGUCAGUCUUCUAUAUCAAGAUUUUGAAGAGUCUAUCUAUAGCUGGUUGUUGAGAAUAUCUUUUAUUGUUUUAUUGCACUUAUGUUGACCUAAUAACAAACUUGAAAGCCAAACUAGGUGCGAGUUAAUGGUCCUAACACAGCACCUGUUUACCAAUUCCUUAAAUCAAGCAAAGGUGGUUUUCUCGGUUCAAGCAACAAAUGGAAUUUCACCAAGUUUCUGAUUGAUAAGGAAGUAGGAAGAUAGCCAAUGUUGUUGUUGUUGUUGUUUUAGGAAACAACCAUAGGGGACACAUAAAGUUUUUUGCUAUGCUUCUGGAGAAUUGUUAAGAUGCAGUUAUCAAAAUAAUUCCUCACCUCUAUAUUAAAAGAUCUAAGAUGAAGAGGCAAAGGCAACUAAACGAUAUUGACUAUUGUUUUUGCUGCCACAGAGAGAGAGGAGAAAAAAUGGCCAACCUCUUCCUACUUCUCCAUGUAUUUAAAUAAGUUUCUAUAUUGUCUAGAUUUCUCUCGACCUCGACUAACUCCAACGGAUACCUGACACCAAUACCACGAUCACUGACCAUGUUAUUUUAUCCACCAAAGGUAGGAUAGGUCAGAAGAAGUGAGAGUAUCAUCUUGGUUUCAACGUGGUUGGUUAAAGUCAUUAAAUUUUAAUCAUAAAUUUAUCCACCGGAACGGUUGGCUAUGUAGAAUUUUCAUCCAUAUCCAUUGUCAUCUUCGUUUUCUAUUCUUCUCAUUUCGGUCUUAGUUUGGACCGUGUUCUUCCACUCAGUUUUCCCAAUUUUGUUAGUAAUUAUUUCCGUUUAAUUUGUUUUUUAAUCUGCUGGUGGCUUUAAAAGUUGGCGAUGCCAAAAACAAUGCUCGUGAAGUCAUGGGUGGUGAAAGGAUAUACUCAAUAAGUGACGAGCCCAAAAGAGUGAAGAGGUGAACGACCAAGGGAAAAAAAGUAAUUUAACAGAGACUUUAGAAGCUACCACCAAUCUUUCUUCUGAACUUUUAGCUAAUACAUCUAUGAUAUAUCACCAUGGGAAGCUUUUGGCUCUUCAUGAGGGGGAUAAACCAUGUAAGUUACUUUUGUAUUUGAUCUAUUAGCCGAGAAACUUAAGCAAUCUAUCAUUUAAAUGCUUGCUGGCCUGAAUAUGUUAUCAAGAUUCUUUGACAUCUUAUAGUUAAUUACUUCCUUCAAUUUAUUUUGUACGACUGUAACUUUCUAAUUGCCAGAGAUAAUCUUAUAUGCAUUCAAGCUGCCAAAUAGUGAUGUGACUGUUCUUUUAGUAAGAUUGCUGUUUGUUGAA
This is a long non-coding RNA of Capsicum annuum, 1892 nucleotides long. RefSeq lists it as uncharacterized. The transcript is spliced from 2 exons. NCBI's taxonomy places the organism in Eukaryota, Viridiplantae, Streptophyta, Magnoliopsida, Solanales, Solanaceae. The record is from RefSeq and is a predicted model, not a curated record.